GUUUUAAAGGAUUAAUUUUAGAUUGUCCCUGCUCAAUGAUGGGAGUUAAAUAGCUGCGGUAAGAUGACUGUACGAAGGUAGCGUAAUAAUUAGUUCAUUAAUUGUGGAUUUGUAUGAAUGGGUUGAUGGGGAGACUUCUUUCUUGUUGACAUAAAUUGAAUUUAACUUUAAGGUUAUAAGGCUUUAGUUGGAGUGAGGGACGAUAAGACCCUAUAGAACUUUAUUUGGUUGAUUUUUGUUGGAUUGUUAAUGAAUUUAGUUGGGGUGAUUGGAAUAUGAGUUAAACUUUUCUUUAUAUAAAUAUACUUUUAUUUAAGUUUUUUUUUUUGGUUUUAUUAGGUUGAAGAGAUAAGUUACCUUAGGGAUAACAGCAUAAUUAUUUUGGAGAGUUCUUAUCAAUAAAAUAGAUUGUGACCUCGAUGUUGAAUUAAAAUGAAUUGAUGGUGAAGGAUUUAUUUGAUUAGGGUCUGUUCGACCUUUAUAAUUUUACA
This 491-nucleotide ribosomal RNA is filed under the name Antipaluria urichi. RNAcentral describes it as "partial 16S ribosomal RNA". It matches the Rfam family "Bacterial large subunit ribosomal RNA", at positions 1831 to 2600 of the family's 2925-position model. Lineage: Eukaryota; Metazoa; Arthropoda; Insecta; Embioptera; Clothodidae. The record is from RNAcentral.